CGGAGGAUCCAAGCGUUAUCCGGAAUCAUUGGGUUUAAAGGGUCCGUAGGCGGUUUGGUAAGUCAGUGGUGAAAGCCCAUCGCUCAACGGUGGAACGGCCAUUGAUACUGCCAGACUUGAAUUACUGGGAAGUAACUAGAAUAUGUAGUGUAGCGGUGAAAUGCUUAGAGAUUACAUGGAAUACCAAUUGCGAAGGCAGGUUACUACCAGUGGAUUGACGCUGAUGGACGAAAGCGUGGGUAGCGAACAGGAUUAGAUACCCUGGUAGUCCACGCCGUAAACGAUGGAUACUAGCUGUUGGGGGCAACUCCAGUGGCUAAGCGAAAGUGAUAAGUAUCCCACCUGGGGAGUACGUUCGCAAGAAUG
RNAcentral lists this ribosomal RNA (366 nucleotides) under uncultured organism. RNAcentral's name for it is "bacterial SSU rRNA". It matches the Rfam family "Bacterial small subunit ribosomal RNA", at positions 526 to 896 of the family's 1533-position model. The record is from RNAcentral.